This is a long non-coding RNA of Danio aesculapii, 614 nucleotides long. RefSeq lists it as uncharacterized. The transcript has 4 exons. NCBI's taxonomy places the organism in Eukaryota, Metazoa, Chordata, Actinopteri, Cypriniformes, Danionidae. The record is from RefSeq and is a predicted model, not a curated record.
UGUGUGGGUUUAUUCAUGCUUCUGCAAUGAAGACCCUGAAUGACGGACUUCUUUUCUCUCUUUGGAAACCACCAUGAUAUUCCACUUUCAGGUUUCCAGCAUUUUUCUAAAUAUCAGAAGAAGAAAAACACAAACAAAAAGAAGAUGAGUAAAUGAUGACGCAAUUUAGAAUUUUUGGGUGAACUGUCUCUUUAAGCCAGUCCAAUCCUGAACAGAUUGACUGCACUGCAAGCUGGACAAAAGCUUGGCAAAUCCCAUGGAACAAGUCGACUCACUGCAGUGUUUACAACUGGUGUGUAUCAUAUACCUGUAUUUCACUCAACUUUUUUCUAUCUUCACCUAUUUUUUUAUUUUUGGACCAUGGCGGAGUAGACCAGAUUAAAAAGGUCACCUGACCAUCACACAAAACAUACCUGAUUUUUUUUUUCAUUUGACAAUUUCUUUGUUGUUGUUUUACAUUCCAUCAAAUUAGCAAUUGUUUCACUCAAAUCAUUAAUCUAAUGUGCAUUAUUGUGAAAGCCAAGAUAGAUAAUCUACAGUAAACUGGUCAUUUUAACAACAAAAAAAAAUUUGUGACAAAUCAGUGUGUAACACAAUAAACUACAUAAAAUCAA